This 371-nucleotide ribosomal RNA is filed under the name uncultured bacterium. Its description in RNAcentral is "bacterial SSU rRNA". It matches the Rfam family "Bacterial small subunit ribosomal RNA", at positions 527 to 896 of the family's 1533-position model. The record is from RNAcentral.
GUAGGGCGCAAGCGUUGUCCGGAAUUAUUGGGCGUAAAGAGCUCGUAGGCGGCCUGUCGCGUCCGCUGUGAAAUCCCAGGGCUUAACCCUGGGCGUGCAGUGGAUACGGGCUGGCUGGAGGCAGGCAGGGGAGAACGGAAUUCCCGGUGUAGCGGUGAAAUGCGCAGAUAUCGGGAGGAACACCGGUGGCGAAGGCGGUUCUCUGGGCCUGUACUGACGCUGAGGAGCGAAAGCGUGGGGAGCGAACAGGAUUAGAUACCCUGGUAGUCCACGCCGUAAACGUUGGGCGCUAGGUGUGGGUCCCUUCCACGGGGUCUGUGCCGCAGCUAACGCAUUAAGCGCCCCGCCUGGGGAGUACGGCCGCAAGGCUA